AUUGAACGCUGGCGGCAUGCUUUACACAUGCAAGUCGAACGGCAGCGCGGGCUUCGGCCUGGCGGCGAGUGGCGAACGGGUGAGUAAUACAUCGGAACGUGCCCAGUAGUGGGGGAUAGCUCGGCGAAAGCCGGAUUAAUACCGCAUACGACCUGAGGGUGAAAGCGGGGGAUCUUCGGACCUCGCGCUAUUGGAGCGGCCGAUGGCAGAUUAGCUAGUUGGUGGGGUAAAGGCCUACCAAGGCGACGAUCUGUAGCUGGUCUGAGAGGACGACCAGCCACACUGGGACUGAGACACGGCCCAGACUCCUACGGGAGGCAGCAGUGGGGAAUUUUGGACAAUGGGCGAAAGCCUGAUCCAGCAAUGCCGCGUGUGUGAUGAAGGCCUUCGGGUUGUAAAGCACUUUUGGCGGGAACGAGAAGGACUGUGCCAAUACCACGGUUCGAUGACGGUACCCGCAGAAUAAGCACCGGCUAACUACGUG
This 484-nucleotide ribosomal RNA is filed under the name uncultured bacterium. RNAcentral's name for it is "partial 16S ribosomal RNA". It matches the Rfam family "Bacterial small subunit ribosomal RNA", at positions 29 to 507 of the family's 1533-position model. The record is from RNAcentral.